This 253-nucleotide ribosomal RNA is filed under the name uncultured bacterium. RNAcentral's name for it is "partial 16S ribosomal RNA". It matches the Rfam family "Bacterial small subunit ribosomal RNA", at positions 524 to 776 of the family's 1533-position model. The record is from RNAcentral.
UACGAAGGGGGCGAGCGCUGUUCGGAAUCACUGGGCGUAAAGAGUGCGUAGGCGGUUAUGAAAGUUAGGAGUGAAAGCCCAGGGCUUAACCUUGGAAUUGCUCUUAAUACUACAUAACUCGAAUUCGGGAGAGGAUAGCGGAAUUGUCAGUGUAGCAGUGAAAUGCGUAGAUAUUGACAGGAACACCAGUGGCGUAAGCGGCUAUCUGGACCGACAUUGACGCUGAGGCACGAAAGCGUGGGGAUCAAACAGG